GAUGAACGCUGGCGGCGUGCCUAACACAUGCAAGUCGAGCGAUUCUCUUCGGAGAAGAGCGGCGGACGGGUGAGUAACGCGUGGGUAACCUGCCCUGUACACACGGAUAACAUACCGAAAGGUAUGCUAAUACGAGAUAAUAUGCUUUUAUCGCAUGGUAGAAGUAUCAAAGCUUUUGCGGUACAGGAUGGACCCGCGUCUGAUUAGCUAGUUGGUAAGGUAACGGCUUACCAAGGCGACGAUCAGUAGCCGACCUGAGAGGGUGAUCGGCCACAUUGGAACUGAGACACGGUCCAAACUCCUACGGAGGCAGCAGUGGGGAAUAUUGCACAAUGGCGAAAGCCUGAUGCAGCAACGCCGCGUGAGCGAUGAA
This 373-nucleotide ribosomal RNA is filed under the name uncultured bacterium. RNAcentral's name for it is "bacterial SSU rRNA". It matches the Rfam family "Bacterial small subunit ribosomal RNA", at positions 28 to 412 of the family's 1533-position model. The record is from RNAcentral.